UAUGCAAAAAAAACCCUAAAAGAAUUUCACUUAGAUAAAAUAGUCCUUCCACCACACGUGCUCAUCCACCACAUACGAAACCUUAUCCUCUCGAUCAGAUCGCGUGAGAGAAGAAAAAACGCUAGAAAAAAAAAUCAUCCAUCGCCGCUUGCGACUCCGAGCGGCGCCACCGCCGCCACCGCCGCCGUCUGCCACCGCCACCGCCGCCGCCUGCCACCGCGCCGCCGCCGCCGCCCUCUGCUGCCGCCGCUCUACUCCCCGGAUCUACACACACCAUCCUGCUUCGCUCCCGUUCCAUGCCCAAAACUUGCAUAUCACUUGCGCCUCAAACAAGCUAGGGUAGUCGUCGGGGGGAGGGGGGCGCUUGCUGCUCCCUCCGCCGGCACCAUCUCCAGUCCCGGUGUCGUCUCUCGCUGUUGGAUCCGGAGUCGCGCCUCCACUUUCUUCAUCCUAGUCGAGCCGAGCCACUUUGGGAUCUACCGUUGCUGCCUUUAUACUCUAAUGCAUCCAAGUGGUCAAGCUCUACAUUCUAAGGUGUCGACUAUUGCGAGACAUAACUCAGCUAACCAAGGAAAUUCGGUGGCACUAACUGAGGUGUUCAAGCACAAUAGCAUUGAUAAUGCACUGCAAAGUGUUGUUGGACACAAGAGAAAGGUGCAUGAUCUAACACCAAAGGAGAAUAUAAGACGUGAAGAUACACAUUCUAGGGCAAAGAAGAUUGGGAAGGCCAGACCCGAUUCUCCAUAUGCUAACUUCACCAAUAGCCAACUGUUAACAACUUCCCGGUUCUAGCUCAAGUCCAAAUGCAUGGACAGGUUUUGGUGUAAUCCAUUCUCAGGUUGUGUUUUUCCUCAUUGCAAAUACAUGCGAGCCUCACAGGAUGACAGGGGCAAGCCACUCAGUAGAUCAAUGAUGUUUAUUGUCUUGUAAAUCAUAAAUAUACCAUUGAUUGUGAUAGCAUAUCUUACAAACUUAAUUACCAUUGAGAUGAUUUGUGAACCACUUAAUGUGCGAUUGAAUUGGAAUUGGGAAUUAUUGUUCUAUAUUGUUUUUGGAGAU
Molecule: long non-coding RNA, 1059 nt
Filed under: Oryza sativa Indica Group (long-grained rice)
Lineage: Eukaryota; Viridiplantae; Streptophyta; Magnoliopsida; Poales; Poaceae
Description: lncRNA OsZS97_07G016480
Source: RNAcentral